CAGUCGCCACGGUAAUACGUAGGUCCCGAGCGUUGUCCGGAUUUAUUGGGCGCAAAGCGAGCGCAGGCGGUUAGAUAAGUCUGAAGUUAAAGGCUGUGGCUUAACCAUAGUACGCUUUGGAAACUGUUUAACUUGAGUGCAGAAGGGGAGAGUGGAAUCCCAUGUGUAGCGGUGAAAUGCGUAGAUAUAUGGAGGAACACCGGUGGCGAAAGCGGCUCUCUGGUCUGUAACUGACGCUGAGGCUCGAAAGCGUGGGGAGCGAACAGGAUUAGAUACCCCCGUAGUCCCUGUCUCUUAUACA
This 301-nucleotide ribosomal RNA is filed under the name uncultured bacterium. RNAcentral's name for it is "partial 16S ribosomal RNA". It matches the Rfam family "Bacterial small subunit ribosomal RNA", at positions 509 to 808 of the family's 1533-position model. The record is from RNAcentral.